RNAcentral lists this ribosomal RNA (377 nucleotides) under uncultured bacterium. RNAcentral describes it as "bacterial SSU rRNA". It matches the Rfam family "Bacterial small subunit ribosomal RNA", at positions 29 to 396 of the family's 1533-position model. The record is from RNAcentral.
AAUGAACGCUGGCGGCGCGCCUAAUACAUGCAAGUCGAGCGAGAAGACGUAGCAAUACGUUUGUAAAGCGGCGAACGGGUGAGGAAUACAUGGGUAACCUACCCUCGAGUGGGGAAUAACUAGCCGAAAGGUUAGCUAAUACCGCGUACGCUUCUUGGACUUCGGUUCAGGGAGGAAAGCGAUGCCGAGGGUAUCGCGCUCUUGGAUGGGCUCAUGUCCUAUCAGCUUGUUGGNGAGGUAACGGCUCACCAAGGCUUCGACGGGUAGCUGGUCUGAGAGGACGAUCAGCCACACUGGCACUGCGACACGGGCCAGACUCCUACGGGAGGCAGCAGUAAGGAAUAUUGCGCAAUGGGCGAAAGCCUGACGCAGCGACG